Molecule: ribosomal RNA, 392 nt
Filed under: uncultured bacterium
Lineage: Bacteria
Description: partial 16S ribosomal RNA
Rfam family: Bacterial small subunit ribosomal RNA
Source: RNAcentral
AUACGGAGGAUCCGAGCGUUAUCCGGAUUUAUUGGGUUUAAAGGGUGCGCAGGCGGCCAUUUAAGUCAGCGGUUAAAUCGUGGGGCUCAACCCCAUUCUGCCGUUGAUACUGGGUGGCUUGAUUGCGGUCGAGGUUGGCGGAAUUCGUUGUGUAGCGGUGAAAUGCAUAGAUAUGACGAAGAACACCGAUUGCGUAGGCAGCUGACCAGACCGCAAAUGACGCUCAUGCACGAAAGUGCGGGGAUCGAACAGGAUUAGAUACCCUGGUAGUCCACGCAGUAAACGAUGAUUACUAGGAGUUUGCGAUACAAUGUAAGCUCUACAGCGAAAGCGUUAAGUAAUCCACCUGGGGAGUACGCCGGCAACGGUGAAACUCAAAGGAAUUGGCGGGG